This 3442-nucleotide long non-coding RNA is filed under the name Salmo salar (Atlantic salmon). Its description in RNAcentral is "lncRNA (ENSSSAG00000104949.1)". The stretch from base 2810 to 2863 matches the Rfam family "UnaL2 LINE 3' element". Lineage: Eukaryota; Metazoa; Chordata; Actinopteri; Salmoniformes; Salmonidae. The record is from RNAcentral.
UACUUCCGGAAGUGGCGCCAAAUUCCUGUACCAACUUGUAUGAAUGUAAACAGCCAGCGAAAGUUGUUUAAAUUGCAGUUCAAGAUAACGAUACUACUUUUAGAAACACAUCUGCUAACAAAUUGACUCGUAGGCACUUUUUUCGCUGCGAAACCUAGCCGUGAAGAUUGAAACUGCCGGUCUUUAGCAGGCACACCAGAACUACGACGAAGAAGGUAUGAAACAGACUUCCACCAGAGAUACAGUAACUAUAUAAUGACGAGAUUGGUCUCCGAUAAGCAGGCGGUCUGCCAAAAAACCUUUGAAACUAGAUGUAAUUUAUAUGAAUGUUCCACUGGGUAGAGGUGAGGUCAAAUGUAGGAUCAGAACCAUUUUGAUAGGUGUAUGGCAGAAGAAGAGUCAGUCCACAUCUACCGUAUUAUCACUUUGUUGUGUAACGUUCUGUAAAACUGUUUCAGAUCAUAGCACUGAGGGUGCAGCGCGAGUUUUGCAUGAGCUGCACUCAGAGGUCAGCGGCCUCAAUGUAACCCUCAAUGUGGCACCUGAUGAGCUGCUUGUAGUUAAUAAUAGCUAUGUGAUUCAUUAGUAUACAUAUUUAGAGAAUGAUUUACAUAACUGGCUUGUUGUGCAUGCCCAGGGCCAGGUGAAGGAGCAGCUGAUGCGCCAACAGGCAGUGGCAAGUAGCCUAGUGGUUAGAGCGUUGGACUUGUAACCGGAAGGUUGCAAGAUUGAAUCCCCGAACUGACAAGGUAAACAGGUAAACAUCUGUCGUUCUGCCCCUGAACAAGGCAGUUAACCUACUGUUCCUAGGCCGUCAUUGAAAAUAAGAAUUUGUUAUUAACUGACUUGCCUAGUUAAAGGUAAAAAAAGGAGAAUGAGGUGAUGAGCUUCAUAAAGAUGUGUAUGGUGCUGAAGCAGAGGACCACAGAGGACAUACAGAGACACUAUGAAAAAUAUGUCUACAAAGCACCUAAGAACACACAGAAACAGACAGAGCCGAACCGCCAGGAGGCAGAAGCUUCAGAGAAAGAGGAUGACACCGAGUGAGUAGAGGAGGACCAGGAGGCAGGAAAGGAGGAACACCUCCCCUCAGUGACCCCUUUGAAGAUACCUCCAUUGACCCCAUGCGCAUCCCCCAGCUCUCUAACUUCGACCUGUCGGAGAUCCACCUGAAGAGGGUACAAUUAGAACCUGACACUGAUUUGUGGCAGUGUUUUCCAGCGCUGAGGCCCACACGCCCAUGAUGACCCUUCCUCCGCCCUCUCUGGUCCUGGCCAUGCCCAAAACACCAAGAUGGCAGCCAAUCAGUCUGUCUGAUCCUUGAGAUCAGAGUUAAGAGUUAUGUUUUAAUGACCCUGAACCUGUUUACAGAAGAAAAUGUUUGCUGUGAAUGUGGAUGCUGUAUAUAACUUAUUUUUAGAUCUGUCUUUAUUUUACAAAAUGUUCUUGUACAAAGAUUUCUGAUUGAGAAGGCUGCAUUGAGAAAGCCUCGGUCCUCUCGUAAACUGUAGACUACACUUUUUUGGAGUUGGAGUGGGCCGAGUCAGGAGCGUCUGUCUGCUCGCAAGGCCUGCUACGGAGAAGCGGUUGCCAGAUUGGAAAACCUGAUGGGCCGUGGGACAAUCUGUCAUUCUACACAACAUCUACUGAUCGUUGCACACCUGUGCUGAAAGACCUCUAAAAACCAGCAUUAUGUAUCUGUUACUGUGCCUGCUCUUUACUCAAUGCCAUCCUGGAUUAAUUAGACUGAAUGAUCAAUGGGUGAGUGAAUUAUCUUUGCCUUAUGCCCUACAAUUUGCUAACACUCUGACGAGACCAUCAUGUCAAUCUGCAAUUGCACCACUCUCAAACACAAGUGGACUUACACUUAUACUUCCAAAAUCUCAAAAAAUGUACAAUGGUGCUGGUUCCGCCAAGUCCUCAUGCAUUGGACAACUGAGAUAUAUGUUAUGCUUUUAUUAUUGAUCUCUUGUAAUGUGGGACCAAACCCUGGGCCGGUAGAUACCAUGCAAUCUCUACCGGCUCCCUAGGGUUUUAAAAACAGAGCAGGUUUUGGCCUCUUGCAUGUUAAUGUCAGAAGUCUAUUUCCAAAAAUAGACAUGAUUUAGAAUAUGGGCCAAUACGACAAAUGCAGACAAUGGUUUUAUCAGAAACUUGGCUAUGGAAAUCGGUGUCAUAACCCGAUUUCUAUUGAUGGGUACAACAUUUUUAGAACGGAUCGGAUGAGUAGAGGAGGAGGGGUCGCAAUUUGUCAAAUCCAAGUUUAACACCUGAAAUUCUCUCGAUGACCAAAGCCAAACAUUUUGAAUUGCUUGCGGUUAAAGUGAACUUACAGUUAAAGUCGGAAGUUUACAUACACCUUAACCAAAUACAUUUAAACUCAGUUUUUCACAAUUCCUGACAUUUAAUCCUAGUAAAAAUUCCCUGUCUUAGGUCAGUUAGAUCACCACUUUAUUUUAAGAAUGUGAAAUGUCAGAAUAAUAGUAGAGAUAAUGAUUUAUUUAUGCUUUUAUUUCUUUCAUCACAUUCCCAGUGGGUCAGAAGUGUACAUACACUCAAUUAGUAUUGGGUAGCAUUGCCUUUAAAUUCUUUAACUUGGGUCAAACGUUUUGGGUAGCCUUCCAAAAGCUUCCCACAAUAAGUUGGGUGAAUUUUGGCCCAUUCUUCCUGACAGAGACACCUGAAACCCCACCUCUUUAAGGAAUACCUAGGAUAGGAUAAAGUAAUCCUUCUAACCCCCCCAAAAAAAAAGAAAAAAGAUUUAGAUGCACUAUUGUAAAGUGGUUGUUCCACUGGAUAUCAUAAGGUGAAUCCACCAAUUUGUAAGUCGCUCUGGAUAAGAGCGUCUGCUAAAUGACUUAAAUGUAAAUGUAGAGCUGGUGAAACUGAGUCAGGUUUGUAGGCCUCCUCGCUCGCACACGCUUUUUCAGUUCUGCCCACAAAUUUUCUAUAGGAUUGAGGUCACGGCUUUGUGAUGGCCACUCCAAUACCUUGACUUUGUUGUCCUUAAGCCAUUUUGCCACAAUUUUGGAAGUAUGCUUGGGGUCAUUGUCCAUUUGAUAGACCCAUUUGCGUUCAAGCUUUAACUUCCUGACUGAUGUCUUGAGAUGUUGCUUCAAUAUAUCCACAUCAUUUUCCUCCCCCAUGAUGGCAUCUAUUUUGUGACGUGCACCAGUCCCUCCUGCAGCAAAGCACCCCAACAACAUGAUGCUGCCACCCCCGUACUUCACGGUUGGGAUGGUGUUCUUCAGCUUGCAAGCGUCCCCCUUUUUCGGUCAUUAUGGCCAAACAGUUCUAUUUUUGUUUCAUCAGACCAGAGGACAUUUCUCCAAAAAGUACGAUCUUUGUCCCCAUGUGCAGUUGCAAAUCAUAGUCUGGCUUUUUUAUGGCGGUUUUGGAGCAGUGGCUUCUUCCUUGCUGAGCGGCCUUUCAGGUGAUGUCA